AACGAACGCUGGCGGCAUGCCUAACACAUGCAAGUCGAACGAGACCUUCGGGUCUAGUGGCGCACGGGGGCGUAACGCGUGGGAACCUGCCUUUAGGUUCGGAAUAACUCAGAGAAAUUUGAGCUAAUACCGGAUGAUGUCUUCGGACCAAAGAUUUAUCGCCUUUAGAUGGGCCCGCGUUGGAUUAGCUAGUUGGGGGGGUAAAGGCCUACCAAGGCGACGAUCCGUAGCUGGUCUGAGAGGAUGAUCAGCCACACUGGGACUGGGACACGGCCCAGACUCCUACGGGAGGCAGCAAUGGGGAAUAUUGGAAAAUGGGCGAAAGCCUGAUCCAGCAAUGCCGCGUGAGUGAUGAAGGCCUUAGGGUUGUAAAGCUCUUUUACCCGAGAUGAUAAUGACAGUAUCGGGAGAAUAAGCUCCGGCUAACUCCGUG
Molecule: ribosomal RNA, 433 nt
Filed under: uncultured bacterium
Lineage: Bacteria
Description: partial 16S ribosomal RNA
Rfam family: Bacterial small subunit ribosomal RNA
Source: RNAcentral